Molecule: long non-coding RNA, 257 nt
Filed under: Gossypium barbadense (sea-island cotton)
Lineage: Eukaryota; Viridiplantae; Streptophyta; Magnoliopsida; Malvales; Malvaceae
Description: long non-coding RNA (GBAR_LNC014948)
Source: RNAcentral
AUUUCAGUAUGGUAACUUUAAUUUCUUAAAAUGGUUUAUUUGGAUAUUUUGUAAAAUUUACGUUUUAGUCCUUAAACUGUGUUUUGAAAUUAAGUGAGUUUUAAAUGUCAUUUUAAGCUAAAAUUUUCACCAAUCGUUUAAAAUGACACUUGUUGGAAAAAAUUUAUGCUUUGCACAUAUGAUAUAUAAAAUAACGAUUUUACCCUGUUUAUAAUUUGUUAUUUUAUGGUGUGUUUACAUGACCAGUAAGGACAGUC